RNAcentral lists this ribosomal RNA (240 nucleotides) under uncultured bacterium. RNAcentral's name for it is "partial 16S ribosomal RNA". It matches the Rfam family "Bacterial small subunit ribosomal RNA", at positions 524 to 760 of the family's 1533-position model. The record is from RNAcentral.
UACGUAGGGUGCGAGCGUUAAUCGGAAUUACUGGGCGUAAAGCGUGCGCAGGCGGUUUUGUAAGUCUGUCGUGAAAUCCCCGGGCUUAACCUGGGAAUUGCGAUGGAGACUGCAAGGCUAGAAUCUGGCAGAGGGGGGUAGAAUUCCACGUGUGAGCAGUGAAAUGCGUAGAGAUAGUGGAGGAACACCGAUGGCGAAGGCAGCCCCCUGGGUCAAGAUUGACGCUCCAUGCACGAAAGC